RNAcentral lists this ribosomal RNA (254 nucleotides) under uncultured bacterium. RNAcentral describes it as "partial 16S ribosomal RNA". It matches the Rfam family "Bacterial small subunit ribosomal RNA", at positions 524 to 776 of the family's 1533-position model. The record is from RNAcentral.
UACGGAGGGUGCAAGCGUUAUCCGGAAUUACUGGGUUUAAAGCGCGUGUAGGCGGGUCGUUAAGUGUCCGAGUGAAAUCCCACGGCUCAACCGUGGAACUGCCGGGCAUACUGGCGAUCUUGAGGCAUUCAGGGGCGAGCGGAACAAAUGGUGGAGCGGUGAAAUGCGUAGAUAUCAUUUGGAACGCCAAUGGUGAAAACAGCUCGCUGGGAAUGAUCUGACGCUGAGACGCGAAAGCCAGGGGAGCGAACGGG